RNAcentral lists this ribosomal RNA (465 nucleotides) under Vreelandella stevensii. RNAcentral's name for it is "partial 16S ribosomal RNA". It matches the Rfam family "Bacterial small subunit ribosomal RNA", at positions 338 to 795 of the family's 1533-position model. The record is from RNAcentral. Lineage: Bacteria; Pseudomonadati; Pseudomonadota; Gammaproteobacteria; Oceanospirillales; Halomonadaceae.
CCUACGGGAGGCAGCAGUGGGGAAUAUUGGACAAUGGGGGGAACCCUGAUCCAGCCAUGCCGCGUGUGUGAAGAAGGCCCUCGGGUUGUAAAGCACUUUCAGUGAGGAAGAACGCCUGGUGGUUAAUACCCAUCAGGAAAGACAUCACUCACAGAAGAAGCACCGGCUAACUCCGUGCCAGCAGCCGCGGUAAUACGGAGGGUGCGAGCGUUAAUCGGAAUUACUGGGCGUAAAGCGCGCGUAGGUGGCUUGAUAAGCCGGUUGUGAAAGCCCCGGGCUCAACCUGGGAACGGCAUCCGGAACUGUCAAGCUAGAGUGCAGGAGAGGAAGGUAGAAUUCCCGGUGUAGCGGUGAAAUGCGUAGAGAUCGGGAGGAAUACCAGUGGCGAAGGCGGCCUUCUGGUCUGACACUGACACUGAGGUGCGAAAGCGUGGGUAGCAAACAGGAUUAGAUACCCUUGUAGUC